AACGAACGCUGGCGGCAGGCUUAACACAUGCAAGUCGAGCGCAUCCUUCGGGGUGAGCGGCGGACGGGUGAGUAACGCGUGGGAACGUGCCCUCUUCUACGGAAUAGCCCAGGGAAACUUGGAUUAAUGCCGUAUACGCCCGAAAGGGGAAAGAUUUAUCGGAGGAGGAUCGGCCCGCGUUGGAUUAGGUAGUUGGUGGGGUAAUGGCCUACCAAGCCGACGAUCCAUAGCUGGUUUGAGAGGAUGAUCAGCCACACUGGGACUGAGACACGGCCCAGACUUACCCCCCCCCCCCCCCCCCCCCCCCCGGGAGGCAGCAGUGGGGAAUCUUGGACAAUGGGGGAAACCCUGAUCCAGCCAUGCCGCGUGAUCGAUGAAGGCCUUAGGGUUGUAAAGAUCUUUCAGCUGGGAAGAUAAUGACGGUACCAGCAGAAGAAGCCCCGGCUAACUCCGUG
Molecule: ribosomal RNA, 455 nt
Filed under: uncultured bacterium
Lineage: Bacteria
Description: partial 16S ribosomal RNA
Rfam family: Bacterial small subunit ribosomal RNA
Source: RNAcentral